Non-coding RNA from Paramuricea clavata, 223 nucleotides. The record is from the annotation of a GenBank genome assembly. Lineage: Eukaryota; Metazoa; Cnidaria; Anthozoa; Malacalcyonacea; Plexauridae.
AGUCGCUGAAAAUAGCGACUGGAGUCCGAUUCAAUGACUCGAAUCGACCUACAGUAUGUGGAUCGGGUGCCCACACUAAGUUGGGCGUCAAUAUGGUGAACUGAGGGGAACCUUCGUCCACCAGGUUGAAUAAAGAGGAACGAACCGGGCCGGCAUGGAAACAUAGCAGACAAAAGUUCCCGCGUCAAACAGUGGUGCGAUAGCACUUGUGAAUAGGAGGCAU